CCGCGCCUCCGGCUGGGGCUCCGAGUCGGGCUUCGAGAGGGACAGCGGAGGCCCUCCGCCGAGGGACGGUCGGCGCCAACCGAGGUUCCUGAGCAAAAGAGAAAAGGAGGUUUGACCAUGAGGCUUGGAGAAGGGAGAAGGGCUGGGGAGUACGGCAAGCAUCAGCUCUUGGUGAUGCUGACGCUACCAGUUUGAGGACCACACUUUGAGAAACAAGGUUCUAGACUUUGACCUUCACUGCACAGGCUUACAAGACUGGUAAGUCUGAUUAAGAGAUCUUUUAGGAAUAGACUCAUAUUAACUAAGCUUACAAGCUUGCUGUAGAAAUCUAGAAAUCUAAUUUGUUAAUAUGUUAAUGAGAAAAAUGAAAUGUACGGACCCAUAAUCAUCUGCUGUUCCUAAGACAUGCCACCUGAGACGCCAAAUUAGAGCGCAGGAUAAGAAUGGACAGGAGACUGUAAAAGAUUGUUGUGUGUAUAGUUGGUUCAAAGAUUUCAGGCUAAUAGAGAUUUUCUAGCUGUCACUGCACUGGAGUGGUGGUUUUAAAAUGUACCUGGGAUUU
This 562-nucleotide long non-coding RNA is filed under the name Sus scrofa (pig). RNAcentral's name for it is "lncRNA (ENSSSCG00050017057.1)". Lineage: Eukaryota; Metazoa; Chordata; Mammalia; Artiodactyla; Suidae. The record is from RNAcentral.